AUACGGAGGAUGCGAGCGUUAUCCGGAUUCAUUGGGUAUAAAGGGUGCGUAGGCGGCCCCCCAAGUCAGCGGUGAAAUGUCCGGGCCCAACCCGGAGGGUGCCGUUGAUACUGCGGGGCUGGAGUACGGACGCCGGCGGAGGAAUGCGUGGUGUAGCGGUGAAAUGCAUAGAUAUCACUCAGAACACCGAUUGCGAAGGCAUCCGCCGAGGCCGUUACUGACGCUGAGGCACGAAAGCGUGGGGAUAGAACAGGAUUAGAUACCCUGGUAUUCCACGCCGUAAACGAUGAUGACCAACCGCCGGGCGGAGUGACGUCCGGCAGCCAAGCGAAAGCGAUAAGUCAUCCACCUGGGGAGUACGGCCGCAAGGCUGAAACUCAAAUGAAUUGGCGGGG
Molecule: ribosomal RNA, 395 nt
Filed under: uncultured bacterium
Lineage: Bacteria
Description: partial 16S ribosomal RNA
Rfam family: Bacterial small subunit ribosomal RNA
Source: RNAcentral